Molecule: ribosomal RNA, 377 nt
Filed under: uncultured eukaryote
Lineage: Eukaryota
Description: partial 18S ribosomal RNA
Rfam family: Eukaryotic small subunit ribosomal RNA
Source: RNAcentral
CAAUAGCGUAUAUUUAAGUUGCUGCAGUUAAAAAGCUCGUAGUUGGAUUUCGGGUGGGAAUGGCCGGUCCGCCGUUUCGGUGUGCACUUGCUACGCCCACCUUGCUGCCGGGGACGUGCUCUUGAGUUCACGCUCGGGACACGGAGUCGGCGAGGUUACUUUGAGUAAAUUAGAGUGUUCAAAGCAGGCCUACGCUCUGAAUACAUUAGCAUGGAAUAACACGAUAGGACUCUGGCCUAUCUUGUUGGUCUGUAGGACCGGAGUACUGAUUAAGAGGGACAGUCGGGGGCAUUCGUAUUUCAUUGUCAGAGGUGAAAUUCUUGGAUUUAUGAAAGACGAACUACUGCGAAAGCAUUUGCCAAGGAUGUUUUCAUUAA